GUACCCAAGGCGAUGAUGCAUAGCCCGAGUUGAGAGACUGAUCGGGCCACAUUGGGACUGAGACACGGGCCCAAACUCCUACGGGAGGCAGCAGUAGGGGGAAUCUUCCACAAUGGACGCAAAGUCUGAUGGAGCAAAACGCCGCGUGAGUGAAGAAGGGUUUCGGCUCGUAAAAAGCUCUGUUGUUGGUGAAGAAGGACAGGGGGUAGUAACUGACCCCUUUGUUUGACGGUAAAUCAAUUUAGAAAGUCACGGGCUAACUACGUGCCCAGCAGCCGCGGUAAAU
This 286-nucleotide ribosomal RNA is filed under the name uncultured Bacillota bacterium. RNAcentral describes it as "uncultured Firmicutes bacterium partial 16S ribosomal RNA". It matches the Rfam family "Bacterial small subunit ribosomal RNA", at positions 264 to 525 of the family's 1533-position model. Lineage: Bacteria; Bacillati; Bacillota. The record is from RNAcentral.